UAUCCACAUUGAAACACCGAUUCUCGUACGAUUACCGAAGUUAAGCAACAUCGAGCCUUGUCAGUACUUGGAUGAGUGUUCUCUUGGGAAUACCAGGUGCUGUAG
This is a non-coding RNA of Acanthosepion pharaonis, 105 nucleotides long. The record is from the annotation of a GenBank genome assembly. NCBI's taxonomy places the organism in Eukaryota, Metazoa, Mollusca, Cephalopoda, Sepiida, Sepiidae.